Molecule: ribosomal RNA, 436 nt
Filed under: uncultured bacterium
Lineage: Bacteria
Description: partial 16S ribosomal RNA
Rfam family: Bacterial small subunit ribosomal RNA
Source: RNAcentral
UGGGGAAUUUUGGACAAUGGGCGCAAGCCUGAUCCAGCCAUGCCGCGUGCGGGAAGAAGGCCUUCGGGUUGUAAACCGCUUUUGUCAGGGAAGAAAUCUUCUGAGUUAAUACCUCGGGAGGAUGACGGUACCUGAAGAAUAAGCACCGGCUAACUACGUGCCAGCAGCCGCGGUAAUACGUAGGGUGCAAGCGUUAAUCGGAAUUACUGGGCGUAAACGUGCGCAGGCGGUUUUGUAAGACAGAGGUGAAAUCCCCGGGCUCAACCUGGGAACUGCCUUUGUGACUGCAAGGCUUGAGUGCGGCAGAGGGGGAUGGAAUUCCGCGUGUAGCAGUGAAAUGCGUAGAUAUGCGGAGGAACACCGAUGGCGAAGGCAAAUCCCCCUGGGCCUGNACUGACGCUCAUGCACGAAAAGCGUGGGGAGCAAACAGGAUUAG